This 468-nucleotide ribosomal RNA is filed under the name uncultured bacterium. Its description in RNAcentral is "partial 16S ribosomal RNA". It matches the Rfam family "Bacterial small subunit ribosomal RNA", at positions 28 to 507 of the family's 1533-position model. The record is from RNAcentral.
GACGAACGCUGGCGGCGUGCUUAACACAUGCAAGUCGAACGGAAAGGCCCUGCUUUUGUGUGUUUCUCGAUUGGCGCACGGGUGAGUAACACGUGAGUAACCUGCCCUUGACUUUGGGAUAACUUCAGGAGACUCGGGCUCAUACCCGAUAGGAGCUCCUGCUGCAUGGUGGGGGUUGGAAAGUUUCGGCGGUUGGGGAUGGACUCGCGGCUUAUCAGCUGGUUGGUGGGGUAGUGGCUUACCAAGGCUUUGACGGGUAGCCGGCCUGAGAGGGUGACCGGCCACAUGGGGACUGAGAGACGGCCCAGACGCCUACGGGAGGCAGCAGGGGGGAAUAUUGCACAAUGGGCGGGAGCCUGAUGCAGCAGCGCCGCGUGCGGGAUGACGGCCUUCGGGUUGUAAACCGCUUUCGCAUGUGACGAAGCGUGAGUGACGGUAAUGGGUAAAGAAGCACCGGCUAACUACGUG